GACGAACGCUGGCGGCGUGCUUAACACAUGCAAGUCGAACGGAAAGGCCCUGCUUGCCGGGUACUCGAGUGGCGAACGGGUGAGUAACACGUGGGUGAUCUGCCCUGCACUUCGGGAUAAGCCUGGGAAACUGGGUCUAAUACCGGAUAGGAGCCAUUUUGAGUGUUGUGGUUGGAGAGUUUUUUCGGUGUGGGGUGAGCUGGCGGCCUAUCAGCUUGUUGGUGGGGUAAUGGCCUGCCAAGGCGGCGACGGGUAGCCGGCCCGGGAGGGUGGACGGCCACAUUGGGACUGAGAUACGGCCCAGACUCCUACGGGAGGCAGCAGUGGGGAAUAUUGCACAAUGGGCGCAAGCCUGAUGCAGCGACGCCGCGUGGGGGAUGACGGCCUUCGGGUUGGAAACUCCUUUCGCUAGGGACGAAGCUUUUUGUGACGGUACCUAGAUAAGAAGCACCGGCUAACUACGUG
RNAcentral lists this ribosomal RNA (465 nucleotides) under uncultured bacterium. RNAcentral's name for it is "partial 16S ribosomal RNA". It matches the Rfam family "Bacterial small subunit ribosomal RNA", at positions 28 to 507 of the family's 1533-position model. The record is from RNAcentral.